Molecule: long non-coding RNA, 2253 nt
Organism: Halichondria panicea
Lineage: Eukaryota; Metazoa; Porifera; Demospongiae; Suberitida; Halichondriidae
Exons: 3
Source: RefSeq, a predicted model, not a curated record
GUGCAGUGAUUGGGUGAGUCUGGAGGCUGUAGGGUUCUCACUGGGUGUGGUUUUGAAAGGAUUCCUCUCUAAACCAGUCAACUCUCUCUUCACCAAUCUCCUGGAACUGGCCAAAACUCUCUGCACUAGCCCUGCUAACACACUCGCUUUCUACCAACUCGUAUUUCUCCUGACACUGGAAUUCUCUUAUCAAAGGCUCUCGAAUAUACUGGUCUUCCUACACCAGCUGCAAGAGCUUGCUGUGAAGGAGAAAGGUCUUGAGGCACAUCACAGAGUGGUGCUACAUGCUACAGUGGCGGGUAUAUAGCGUCCAAGAUUAGUCGAAACGAGGUACUCAAGACACACAUCGAUGGAGUGAUUGCUAAGAGGAGGGAGACAGCUCCGAAGGCUAUGGUGGGACAUUCUUCUAGAGGGUUUGUGUGUGUUAUGUCACUGUGAUCGACCCACCCCAUGCUGGAGGUUGAUGUGAGUUGAGACUGAGAAUGAUGCCCUGUCAGUAAUGAACCCGAACACUCACUCAUGCCUUCAAGAAGUUUAGUCGAUUAUGCCUUGCUGCUUGCCUCAAUGGAAGUAUGUGUGGCCUUUAAAAGCUGUAGCUGGUCUAAACCUUCAAUUUGACUGGUAAAGGGUCACAGUAGGACACACAAAAGAUGAGUUGUGUCUGGAGAAAGUAUAUAGUAAACUUAUCAUCUUUAAAGGUGGUGUAGAAACGUAGAUGGAAGCAGUAGCCAACAGACAAUGGCUGAACAGGAGAAUAAGCAGUUAAGAUCACCUGAAAAAAAAAAGAGUACAAAGUCAACAAUGCUUCCAGAGCCAAUCCAGUUUCAAGUGUCAAGCAGCUCAGCAAAACUAGUACUUCAAAGCUCUCACAAUCUACCACACAAUCCAAUAUCAACAUUGAUCAAUAUUGACAAGUUAAUAGCAUGCUCCUUUGUUGUUGUAAUAUUUACAACAAUUUGACCUGUAAAGGGUUAUGGUCCCACUAUGUACAUGCACUGCCUAUGGCCCCACUAUGUACGUGCACUGCCUAUGCCCCCACUAUGUACAUGCACUGCCUAUGGCCCCACUAUGUACGUGCACUGCCUAUGCCCCCACUAUGUACGUGCACUGCCUAUGGUCCCACUAUGUACGUGCACUGCCUAUGACCCCACUAUGUACGUGCACUGCCUAUGGUCCCACUAUGUACGUGCACUGCCUAUGGUCCCACUAUGUACGUGCACUGCCUAUGGCCCCACUGUGUACGUGCACUGCCUAUGGUCCCACUGUGUACGUGCACUGCCUAUGGUCCCACUGUGUACGUGCACUGCCUAUGGUCCCACUGUGUACGUGCACUGCCUAUGGUCCCACUGUGUACGUGCACUGCCUAUGGCCCCACUGUGUACGUGCACUGCCUAUGGCUCCACUGUGUACGUGCACUGCCUAUGGCCCCACUGUGUACGUGCACUGCCUAUGGCCCCACUGUAGUUAGCUCUGCACUAGAACGCUAGCUAUUGGUAGCUGCAAGAGUGAGAAGAGAGCUGCAAGGCUCUGCUAAUGCAGCCAUUAAUUUUAGACUUGAACUUUUGGCAUCGCUCGUUUUUAACAACAAUCGUGGUCGAUCAUUACCCACUCCUUGAGUUUGCAUGCAGCAAAAUUAAUUGUUCAUCAUGUCAUGUGUAUAAAAGCUAUUAGACUCUAGUAGCUUUAUGUUAUGUAGCUUUGGCAUCUCCACCGAGGCAUCAGCACCCGCGGUGCUUUCAUUUGUAUAUUAGUUUCCAUAUAAAAAUUAUACCACUAAGAGUAGAUUGUGAGAGCAUUUACUAUAAUAUUGAUGGCCACCUUAUAGCGGGUAAUUUUUGAGGGUCUCGCAGAUUAGCCAUUUUUGUAACCCUCAAAAAGUACCCAUUUAACAUACAAGUGCUAGAAGCCAUCAUUGCUUAGGACCACAUGUUGUUUGCAUAGCAACAUUGUAUGGUAUUUGUUGUUUUGUGGUAAUGCAGUGAGCAAACAGCUGUACCACUACCACAUGGUGGUUGUAUUACCUGUGUGUGUGUGUACAUGAUCGACCACCAUGCAAUUUGAGUUUGCAUGCAGCAAAAAUGCAAAUAUAUUCAUCAUGAUAAUGUGUGUAGCUUUAUGUUAUGUAGUUUUGCACCUUCACCGAGGCAUCAGUACCCGCGGUGCUUUCAUUAAUACAUGUACCUGCAAUUAUAUAACUACUGUACCACUACCACGAUGUUGUGAUGGUUGUAUCUGUAUACCUGUGUGUGUGUA